Prionailurus viverrinus (fishing cat) is the source of this 184-nucleotide small nuclear RNA. RefSeq annotates it as U2 spliceosomal RNA. Lineage: Eukaryota; Metazoa; Chordata; Mammalia; Carnivora; Felidae. The record is from RefSeq and is a predicted model, not a curated record. The transcript has a single exon.
AUCGCUUCUCGGCCUUUUGGCUAAGAUCAAGUGUAGUAUAUGUGAGGGCACGUUUACCCCUUGCUCCUUUCAGAAUUUUCUCUUUAUCCUUGUAUUUUGCCAGUUUCACUAUGAUAUGUCGUGCAGAAGAUCGAUCAAGUUACGUCUGAAGGGAGUUCUCUGUGCCUCUUGGAUUUCAAUGCCU